Molecule: long non-coding RNA, 1190 nt
Organism: Alligator mississippiensis (American alligator)
Lineage: Eukaryota; Metazoa; Chordata; Crocodylia; Alligatoridae
Exons: 7
Source: RefSeq, a predicted model, not a curated record
UUGGCUGAGCAGCAGGGAAAACACCCCCUCCCCUCCCAGAACCGUUUUAAGGGGGAAGGCAUGUGUCAGAGUACUCACGGUGCUCUGCCACUUUAAGAACUGGGCCAGGCAGCAGACAGGUGCAGCCCAGUCUUGACGAGCAGCCAUCUUAAGACCCAGGCCAACAGGACUAGAGGAAGCAGUUGCUACCUGGAGUUGAGGAAGGAACAUUUCCUGGCGGAGCUGCUGCUCCGGAGACAGCACAGAGCAGAGAUUGCUCCAACAACUCCAAAUCCUGUAUGUGCCAUAUCAUGACUUUACACCUACUGGAAUGCUGAUGGACCAUGAAGCUGUUCCAUAGUGACUUAGGUAAUGUGGUAUCCCCUAACGCAGUGAGGAACAACCUUUUUGGCAGCAAUGACAGCUGGAGACAAUUAUCCUUUCUGAAAGGAGAAAAUCUCAGUGAGCUGGCUGGAAAGAAACAAGAGCUUUCAGGAGUCUUUGGGAACAAACAUGACACAUCUGUGCUCACUUUCCCUAUCGUGACUGCAAACAGGGUAACUUGUUAGUCCAGCUGCAUUACCCAAGACACAGGGAUAAAGACGGUUCUUCUGAAGGAGCUUUAUUUGCACAGACUGCCAAAUGAUUGAUUCAACGUAUGGCGCAGCGUCAGUUUAUUUUGGAUGAGAUAUGCACUAGCACAUGGCUCCUUGCACCAGAACCAAAGGAUCCUGGUACACCUAAAUAUCAAGCUGCUUUGUUAGUUAAGAUUAAAACAAAAGCCUGAAGCCACCAUCUGGUAAAAUAGAUAUCCAAGCACUUGUCUUCUAGCCUCUACACACUUUACACAAAGCUCCAUUGUAACCAGAAGUGAGAGAGGCAGAACAGAAUUUUAAACUGACACCUCCAGAGAGGAAAAUAUUGAGAUCUUCACUGUCAUUCCUGCAAAGAGUAAAAUUCAAAUCAACUCUACCCCCUGACUGACUCUCUGUGGGUUUACAAUAACAUUGUGCUAUUUUCACUUCAUAGUGGAGCCACUUAGGCAAGGCAACUGCACUGGAGGUCAUCAAGAGUGCAGGGAUUAAAUAUUAAUGAAUAAACUCUUUUUUCAAUACCAUACAUGCAACGCUGAUUGGCUUCUUUAGGAGUUCCAUUACUGACUGAGGAAAGUAUGUGACUGCUGAAGGCUUUGUGGAGCACAGAAUCUGGCA